GACGAACGCUGGCGGCGUGCCUAACACAUGCAAGUCGAACGGAGAUUAUUAAUGAAGCUUGCGAUUUAAUAAUCUUAGUAGCGGACGGGUGAGUAACGCGUGGGUGACCUGCCCAUAAGUGGGGGAUAACAGUUGGAAACGACUGCUAAUACCGCAUAAGCUGUGCAAACAGUAAAGAUGGCCUCUGAAGAUGCUAUCGCUUAUGGAUGGGCCCGCGUCUGAUUAGCUAGUUGGUGGGGUAAAGGCCUACCAAGGCGACGAUCAGUAGCCGGCCUGAGAGGGUGAACGGCCACACUGGGACUGAGACACGGCCCAGACUCCUACGGGAGGCAGCAGUGGGGAAUAUUGCGCAAUGGGGGAAACCCUGACGCAGCGACGCCGCGUGAGCGAAGAAGGCUUUAGGGUCGUAAAGCUCUGUUUUAAGGGACGAAUGUUUAUGCGGGUAACUACGUAUAAAAUGACGGUACCUUAAGAGAAAGCCCCGGCUAACUACGUGCCAGCAGCCGCGGUAAGACGUAGGGGGCGAGCGUUGUCCGGAAUUACUGGGCGUAAAGAGCACGUAGGCGGGAAUUUAAGUCAGAUGUGAAAGACCGGGGCUCAACUCCGGGGUUGCAUUUGAAACUAGAUUUCUUG
Molecule: ribosomal RNA, 633 nt
Filed under: uncultured Bacteroidales bacterium
Lineage: Bacteria; Pseudomonadati; Bacteroidota; Bacteroidia; Bacteroidales
Description: bacterial SSU rRNA
Rfam family: Bacterial small subunit ribosomal RNA
Source: RNAcentral